CCUACGGGUGGCAGCAGUGAGGAAUAUUGGUCAAUGGGCGAGAGCCUGAACCAGCCAAGUCGCGUGAAGGAUGACGGCCCUACGGGUUGUAAACUUCUUUUGUCAGGGAGCAAUUUAGUCCACGUGUGGGCUUAGCGAGAGUACCUGCAGACAAAGCAUCGGCUAACUCCGUGCCAGCAGCCGCGGUAAUACGGAGGAUGCGAGCGUUAUCCGGAUUUAUUGGGUUUAAAGGGUGCGCAGGCGGCGAGUUAAGUCAGCGGUAAAAUUUCGGGGCUCAACCCCGACAAGCCGUUGAAACUGGCGUGCUAGAGUGGGCGAGAAGUAUGCGGAAUGCGUGGUGUAGCGGUGAAAUGCAUAGAUAUCACGCAGAACUCCGAUUGCGAAGGCAGCAUACCGGCGCCCAACUGACGCUCAGGCACGAAAGCGUGGGUAUCGAACAGGAUUAGAUACCCCAGUAGUC
Molecule: ribosomal RNA, 460 nt
Filed under: uncultured bacterium
Lineage: Bacteria
Description: partial 16S ribosomal RNA
Rfam family: Bacterial small subunit ribosomal RNA
Source: RNAcentral